Long non-coding RNA from Bos taurus (domestic cattle), 524 nucleotides. The record is from Ensembl. NCBI's taxonomy places the organism in Eukaryota, Metazoa, Chordata, Mammalia, Artiodactyla, Bovidae.
GUGGGUACGCGUCCCUGCUGACUCCUCUCACCCCAGAGGGCCAAGGCGGGCUCGUGGAGCCUCCGCCCUGAUGGUGCCCUCGUCGGGGCUGCUGAGGACAGAGGGGGAGGCGGGCGGGGUGGGAGCCCGAUUGGCCGCCUGCUGCCCAGCCUGCCCUCAGCCGCACGAGCAGACCUUCAGGCCGCAGGGCGUAACUUUGAUGAGUCCAGAAUCUCGAGAUGACAGAAGGCCAGGGCUGAGCCAAGGCCAGAGCUGUCUAGCUCUUGCCAACCAGGGGAUGACACGGAGCGUGGAGUCCUGCAGCCCCUGUCCUCGCUGCCCUCUGCAGCCCCUCUCGUCUGCCAGUUGGACUCCCCGCAGGGAGAUGGCCCUGGGCUCACACCUGCUGUUGGUCCACAGAUGUUCGUGAGUCUCUGCCUUCUGUGUUCGUCUUUUUCCAAAAGCGGCCCUGAGCUGGGUGCCAGCACCGUCACCACCACCGCCCUGCUGUAGCUCUGCACAGGUCCUCCUGGCUGCCUCUCAGC